This 325-nucleotide ribosomal RNA is filed under the name uncultured eukaryote. Its description in RNAcentral is "partial 18S ribosomal RNA". It matches the Rfam family "Eukaryotic small subunit ribosomal RNA", at positions 1470 to 1796 of the family's 1831-position model. The record is from RNAcentral.
CCCUUAGAUGUUCUGGGCCGCACGCGCGCUACACUGAUGCAUUCAACGAGCCUAUCCUUGACCGACAGGUCCGGGUAAUCUUUGAAUCUGCAUCGUGACGGGGAUAGAUUAUUGCAAUUAUUAAUCUUCAACGAGGAAUGCCUAGUAGGCGCAAGUCAUCAGCUUGCGUCGAUUACGUCCCUGCCCUUUGUACACACCGCCCGUCGCUCCUACCGAUUGGGUGUGCUGGUGAAAUGUUCGGAUCGGCCGUUUGUCGCGGUUUCCGCGUCAUGUGGCCGAGAAGUUCAUUAAACCCUCCCACCUAGAGGAAGGAGAAGUCGUAACA